GUCAGGGUGGCCGAGUGGUCUAAGGCGCCAGACUCAAGUUCUGGUCCACAAAUGUGGGCGUGGGUUCGAACCCCACUCCUGACA
Molecule: transfer RNA, 84 nt
Filed under: Ixodes scapularis (black-legged tick)
Lineage: Eukaryota; Metazoa; Arthropoda; Arachnida; Ixodida; Ixodidae
Description: tRNA-Leu
Rfam family: tRNA
About the family: Transfer RNA (tRNA) molecules are approximately 80 nucleotides in length. Their secondary structure includes four short double-helical elements and three loops (D, anti-codon, and T loops). Further hydrogen bonds mediate the characteristic L-shaped molecular structure. tRNAs have two regions of fundamental functional importance: the anti-codon, which is responsible for specific mRNA codon recognition, and the 3' end, to which the tRNAs corresponding amino acid is attached (by aminoacyl-tRNA synthetases). tRNAs cope with the degeneracy of the genetic code in two manners: having more than one tRNA (with a specific anti-codon) for a particular amino acid; and 'wobble' base-pairing, i.e. permitting non-standard base-pairing at the 3rd anti-codon position.
Source: RNAcentral